GCCCUUCGGGGCCUACGGUGAACUGAAAAUAUACAGAGAAGAUUAGCAUGACCCCUACCCUAAGGAUGACACGCAAUCAAACAGAAGCUCCGUAUCUUUUC
RNAcentral lists this small nuclear RNA (101 nucleotides) under Penicillium coprophilum. The record is from RNAcentral. Lineage: Eukaryota; Fungi; Ascomycota; Eurotiomycetes; Eurotiales; Aspergillaceae.